RNAcentral lists this long non-coding RNA (224 nucleotides) under Chinchilla lanigera (long-tailed chinchilla). Its description in RNAcentral is "lncRNA (ENSCLAG00000022282.1)". The record is from RNAcentral. Lineage: Eukaryota; Metazoa; Chordata; Mammalia; Rodentia; Chinchillidae.
UGAAGACAAGAAUUUGGAAAGAUGUUUUAGAUCUGAACAAUAACAAAAACUGAAUCUAUUUUUUUUUUUUUUUUCAUUUUGUUUUCCAUAUGGGCCUGAAAUAGCACUCAGUCUACAGAGAAAGCAAAAUCGUUUAAAGGAUAUAUACAGAAACUUGAUGUGGUAAGUCUGAAAUAAUUUUCUAAUAAGAAAUUCUAAACUGUGCCCUGCUCACAAGCCAGGUG